AACAAGAAUAACUUAUAACAUAGAACACAACUGGAAAACACUUGCAGGGCUCGCGACACACCAUGCGGACACCAAGCUCAUUACACUGGUGACACUUGUUGGCGAAUCCAUUCAUAUUUUCAUAAGUAAUUAUGCUUAAACCAAAUCAUCUAUCUGCGAUUGUCCAACGCAUGGACACAUAUCACAGAUUGCAUGACAAUUAUCACAUAUCAAACUUUAAAGAUAUUAAAGAAUAUGAGAAUGACC
Molecule: long non-coding RNA, 246 nt
Organism: Haliotis rubra (blacklip abalone)
Lineage: Eukaryota; Metazoa; Mollusca; Gastropoda; Lepetellida; Haliotidae
Exons: 3
Source: RefSeq, a predicted model, not a curated record